Molecule: ribosomal RNA, 492 nt
Filed under: uncultured bacterium
Lineage: Bacteria
Description: bacterial SSU rRNA
Rfam family: Bacterial small subunit ribosomal RNA
Source: RNAcentral
GACGAACGCUGGCGGCGUGCUUAACACAUGCAAGUCGAACGGACGAGUGAGAUAAGUUUACUUAACUCACAAGUUAGUGGCGGACGGGUGAGUAACACGUGGAUAAUCUACCUGCAACACCGGGAUAACGCUGUGAAAACGGUGCUAAUACCGGAUACGUUCCCUUGUGCGCAUGUAUGAGGGAAGAAAGCUCAGGCGGUUGCAGAUGAGUCCGCGGCUGAUUAGCUAGUUGGUGAGGUAAAGGCUCACCAAGGCGAUGAUCUGUAGCUGGUCUGAGAGGACGACCAGCCACACUGGGACUGAGACACGGCCCAGACUCCUACGGGAGGCAGCAGUAGGGAAUAUUGGGCAAUGGGCGAAAGCCUGACCCAGCCAUGCCGCGUGAAGGAAGACGGCCUUAUGGGUUGUAAACUUCUUUACUACGCGAAUAGAGGUUAGUACGAGAUACUAAUAGGAAGGUAGUGUAGUAAAAAAGCACCGGCUAACUCCGUG